GACAGAGGUGCCGAGCGUUAGGCGGAAUCACUGGGCUUAAAGCGUGUGUAGGCGGGCGAACAAGUACCUUGUGAAAUCCCACGGCUCAACCGUGGAACUGCUGGGUAUACUGUUUGUCUUGAGCCAACUAGGGGCGAGCGGAACAGACGGUGGAGCGGUGAAAUGCGUAGAUAUCGUAAGGAAGACCAGUGGCGAAGGCGGGUCUCUGGACAGUUCCUGACGCUGAGGCACGAAGGUCAGGGGAGCAAACGGG
This 253-nucleotide ribosomal RNA is filed under the name uncultured bacterium. RNAcentral's name for it is "partial 16S ribosomal RNA". It matches the Rfam family "Bacterial small subunit ribosomal RNA", at positions 524 to 776 of the family's 1533-position model. The record is from RNAcentral.